Molecule: long non-coding RNA, 5782 nt
Filed under: Brassica napus (rape)
Lineage: Eukaryota; Viridiplantae; Streptophyta; Magnoliopsida; Brassicales; Brassicaceae
Description: long non-coding RNA (BNAP_LNC021710)
Source: RNAcentral
UGGGAGUCAAGUCAUUGACUUGUGUUGUUGUAUUCCCUUGUUUAACUUCAACAAUGGGCUUGGGCUUGAAGAUUGACUCAAGAAAUGUCUGAGUGAGAUCUCCGGCGAUGGCUGAGCUGAAGAGGUAAAGCCCGAAUAGAAUAUGAACGACAGAGCUUACUAAAAGCUCUGCUAGUUGAACAGCUGACAUAAGCAACAAUGGAAUCAUCUUUUCUUAAAAAGGUUCGAUCUUUCGUCUCUUUUGACAAUACCCACUUUAUAAAAAUCUGAUUUUUUUUAUUCUUGUUCUUCGGAUAUUCCUAGAAAGUUUUUGGUUCUGUUAUUUUCAAAUAGUGUGAAAAGGAAAAGGGAAUGUGUCAAGAGAAGUGGCUAUAUGUUGACAGUGAAACAAGAUGACAAACUCUAAUGAAUGUAUGUAUGAACUAAGAGAAGUUUUCUACUUCUUCUUCUCGUUUGCUUUCUAGAAGUGUGUGGAGAAACGAGCUCUCUGUGUGUUUAUUUUUCUCUGACUAAUGUCCAAUGAAAGACUCACACUUCAUUCUCUUUUCUGGGAGAGACGCGUCUGAGAGUCAAGAAAAGCUCCAAAGAAGAAUAACGGAAUGUGUUUCGCGCUCUUUCUCUGUGGAUGCCACGUGUGUAUUCUGGUAAUAGAGUGGGUCCCGGUGGUAUAUGGGUAAACAAUCUGAAUAAUAAUAACAUUUGUUGCUGUUUUUCUUGAAGUUUCGACAAAAAGAAAAUUGUUGAAAGUUCAAAUAUCUUGACAUGAUACAAUCAAGUUUAUUCCAUUAUUAACUUUGAUUUUAUCGUAACUUGUUAGCAAAGAUAUAAUUUAAUGAAUUUGAACUAAAGACUAAACAUCCAAAAAGAUUGAUAAGCCCGCUUGUUAGAGAGGAAAAAAAUUGCAUGCGAAUACUACUACGGGAACGAACGAGAGCUAUGAGUAAAAUUCACAUUCAUGUUAAUGUAACAAUUCACAUUUGAUAACAUUAAUCAAUCGGUACAUUUCUUUUGAAACACAUAUUUAGAAAAAAAAAUCUCCGGAUCUUUGUCCCGAGUCCUCAAUCCCCAAAAAAUCUCAUCUACGUAUGCUGAAAAGUGUAAACACACAAUUUACUUCUUUUUCUUGUUUUCUUUAUGGACAUUUCGAGUUUUUACCAGGUCCUCCAUAAUAAAAAUAGUUACCCCAAACCCGGUUUACUCCCCCUCUUAUGUCAUAACAAUUAGGAUGAUCCGCAAGAACUCUAAGAUUAGAUAUCGGUAUAAGUGUAUUGUCCCAAUCUACCACCUCAAGAUUCCUAAAGUACGAUGCUUUUCCAAAACCUUCACCGGCAAAAUGGCCACUCCCCAUCUGAGUCGAAGUAUGUGAACCAUCAGGUUGUGUGUUUACGAUCUCCCCACCGAAUUGGACCAUGUUCCCAUGCUCCAUUAGGUGUGUGAACAAAGACACGGGCCAAUACCCCACUAGUGUACCUGACCCGAAUUGGAGCCACCAGUGUCCGUGUUUUGGGUCCUACACAUUGUGUUUUUUGACGAAGUUGCGUUAAUAGGAUAGUUGUAUGUACGCAUGUAAAGGUUGCGUUAAUAGGAUAGCUACAUGGAUACUCCCAUGUGCAUGGUUUUUAUCAAAAAUAGUAGUAUGAUAUGAGGGAGACAUUCGAAAUUAACGCCAAGAGAAAUUGAGUUUAUAAAUUGUUAGGGGACAAUUCAAUUUAAUUACAUGACGUGCAAUUGUUAUUAUGGUGACACUUGAGUGCCCCUGCCAGAUGGGAAUCGUAUUAAUAUUCUACAUAAAGUGAUUAUAUAAAGGAUAGUAAUCUCAAACUUAAGGAUGAAAUAAAAUAGUUUAGAUAUGUUGAAGAGGCAAUUACCUUCCAUAUCAGUAGACUUAUAUCGAAUUGUCCACCUUUAUAUGACGAAACCGGAGAAAUAGCAGCUCCGAUAGCAAUUCGGUUGUUUGUCUGAAUAAAACCGGAACACAAUAAGUUAUAGCAUCCUGUUGCCUGGUACGCAUCCGACUGCAUAAAGAUAGUCCAUAACAGUUCAUUAUAUUAUAGAAGGACAAAUAAAUAAAUAAAGAGUUUUCGAUUUACAGUUUUGAAGUUGGAUGAAAGUAUGCAUACCGUCCAAUAGGUGAAAAAUCUUGGGUUAGUGUCUCCGUACAGCUCCGGGCUAACCUGUCCGACAUAAUCAAUAUGCUAAGAAUUUAGAUAGUUUUGUGAAAGUAAAUAAGAUAAAUAAUAAGAAAAGUAAAUAAUUAUUGACAAAUAGGGGAGAUGUAUGGCACGUGCCUGCCAACCAGCUUCGAUGGUAUUAAGAUCGUCGGCGAAAGAACCGGCGAUGACCCAAAUCUGAGAUAGACUAAACUCGUAUUUGCUGCUUACAUGUGGCGUCCACACAUUUACAUUCGCUUUUGCUCCGUAGUAUUUACUUCCCGAUACGUAUCCCACCGCAUGCUACACAUAUUAUAAAAGCUUAUACUAAUUUGUAUUGGAAUAUACUAAUAUAAUCUUUUUCUUUUCUUUCUCGAACAAAAAACAGUAAUCUCCGACAAGUAACAUUCUGUUAGUGGCAUUGCAAAGAUUUGCGAGAAAGGUGAUUUUUGGUAUUAUUAUGUACCUAUUUCUUUUAAGAGAUCAAUAAAUAAAAAGAAAUAAGCUCUGACUUCUUGCUAAAGUUAAGCUAGUAAUGAGUACCUCGUGGCCGUUACUACUCGAGUCCCUUCUCACGCGCCUUAUUUUGCGACCAAAUUUACGGACAUAACUUGCUCUUAACAUGUCUUGCUCCGUUGUUCUUCUGAUCGGAAUCGUACCUUCUGGACAAAACUCACCGGUUAAACUCCAAAGCUGAAAAUCUUCAUGGGAUUCAUUUUCUUGGCAGUGCCCUUUGGGCAUCUCUGGUGGAUCCUAAACAUGUUUGCAUAUAAUUUAGGGGCUUUGAGAUUUAAAUAAUUAUGAUAAGUACAAGAAAUGUGAGCUAUUACCAUUGGUCUUUGUCCUUGUAACAAGGGAUGAUCAAAAGCUGGCUGGUGAUGAGAUGGAACACAAUCUAUUAUAUCUCCAUCUGAGCUCUGAAAUAAUCACAAGAACAUUAACUUAGUCAGAAGUUUUCUUAAUGGUGAAAAAAUUACAUUCGCAUGUUCAUCAUAAAAAAAUAUUACAUACGCGCUUAUGACAUAUUUUUGAGGAAAAACAAAGUGUAUUAGAAGCUUAAAAGAUGUAUGUCAAACACUGACUUUUUCAAUGUUAGAAAUUAAACAGAAAGUAGACUACCGAAAUGUAUCAAGAUUUGUUAGCAAAUUCUUUAUUUUUGAAAAAAAAAAUCCUUAAAAAUCACGUAAUGUCUCUGUAAACGAACACACGUCUCUGAACCUAGUUUACACAUAAAAAAGAAAGAAGAUAGUUUGGAUUUUACCUGAAUGGUCUUAAUGGCGGGUUUAUUGAUCUUUGGGAGGUGUUCUCUGAUGAGUUUCAGCUUCUGAAUCUCAUGUUGAGGCCGGAAAGUCACACUUUCGUUUGUGGCGUUAUGUAGAGAAGCAUAGGAGGAGAAGGAAGAAGAGAGGAGGCAGAGUAAGAUAAUGGAAGUGAAGAUCAAAUAAGAAGACAUUGUAAUGGCUCAGGAAUCUCCUCGUUUUCACUGUAGUGACUUUUAUUGAAGGGUAUGAAAAACGCUAGUAUUUGUGGGUGGUGUUAGAUGAAGGCCACACAUUUAUUGCAAGCUUAUUGUUGUUGUUCGUCUUCUUCAUGUCACUGACACAUCUUUCCAACAAACCCCGUUAAAGACAUAAUGACUUCUCUACGGAAAACUCAGAUCCUUUUUUUCUUUAUGGACAUUUCGAGUUUUUACCAGGUCCUCCCGUGUUUGGGAAAGUCUUGAGAUUAGCGUUGAGCUUCAUUGUUUCUUGGAUGGAGAGGUCAGGCAAGAUCCAGUCUCCAGAUGACGAUGCAAAUGGGCCUGCGUUUCCGAGAAGGCAGUCCACGAGGCCGCGUAGGCCUGUCUUCUGCCAGGACAGGUUGAAAUGGUCGAACCCGAAGUUGUAAUAGGAUUUGAGCCAGGAGAUGUCUAGCCAGUCGUAGAUGAUGGAUCCGAGUCUACAAAUCUGGAGUAGACAUAUGGGUUUGAGGGACUUGCCAUCCUCUGGCCUGAAAUUUGUUAUAUACAUUUUGAGUUAUAACACUCCAUGACUCCAAGGACUCUUAUCUAAGAGAUGACAAGAAGGUAGAGAGUGGCAUGGGCGUUUUUACCCUGAACCAAUGACCGAACCUUGGCUCGAACAGAGAAAACCAAAAUCCGGUCCGAACCGUUACAAGAAGUGUUCGAACAGGACAUAAGAGCUAUGCACUUUCGGGUUUGGGUAUAAGAUCAAACACAACCGAAAUCCAAACUAGGAUCCAAAAGUAUCAAAAAUUAGUUAAAUGUAUUAGGGGUGUUAUUGGUUGUAUAAAUUGAAAUCAACUCCAUUAGAUUUAAAACAUAUCAGAUUUUAAUUAUUAUUUUUUGUUUAUUUCAAAGUAUUUUAGAUAUUUUGGAGUAUUUUAAAGAUUUUUGUAGUUUUGAAUAGUUAAAUAUUUUGAGUAUUUUUGGUCAAUUUUGAUUUAGUUUUUUUUUUUUAGAUUUUUAACGCUUUCAUACGUUGGUUAUAAUCCUAUCUAAAUCGAAUCCGGAAGAAAUUGAAUCCGACCCGAAAAUUACUAAAACCUGAAUGAGACUUAUGAACAUAAUAUUGAAAAUCCAAAAAUCCGCAUCAACCAAACUGAGACCGAACAACCAUGCCUAGAAGAGAGCAAACUCACUGAAUUCCAUCGAGGUAGGUUCUAGUACCCCUAUUUAAUGCUCCUGAUAAGGAUGUUAAACUCAACACCCAGUUCUCAUUUGUGUUCUCAUGACCAUCAAACAUCUGAAAACAACAAAAACACAGGCAAAUCAAUUUCAAACAACACAGCCAGAUAGUAUUUAUUGUGUUAAAUCUACCUUGUCAGCGAGCAUUUGCUGCAACACACGAACAACUUGAGCACCAGCAGAGUGGCCAACAAAGUGAAUAGGAUGAUCUUCAUCCCAUUCUUGAUACUCCCCUGAAGUCUAACAGAUUCAUCGGCACAAAGAGUGAAAACUAAAGCUACCUGAAAAAGAAAAAGAAAAAGACUAAAACCUUUGUCAUAAAAACGACCAAACUGAGAAUGCCCACAAGUUUUACUAUGAUCUUCACCGUAAUCAACUCGUCCACCUUUCAAGUAAUAAAACAACUCUCUCGCCCUAUAACAAAAAAAUCAGUACUCUUCACCCUGAGAUGAUGUAUCAUAACAAAAGGUUGAAACUAUAUCACUUAACCUAUCGUGUACACUCGUCAAAGAACCCAAAUCAGGCACUAACACUCUCUCAUCCUUCUUCUCAGCACCAGCAAAGUAUGAUAAACCACCUAACCUCUGCAAAAUUACAAAACCCCAAUUAACACACCAUUUGCAAUGACAAAGAGAGGAGGUAAAAAGUGUUAACACUUACUCCUUUGCCAAAACCGAAAAUGCCAUGGACUAAAACAAUGGGAGUCAAGUCGUUGACUUGUGCUGUUGUUGUGUUCCCUUGUUUGACUUCAAUGGUGGGCUUGGGCUUGAAGACUGACUCAACCAACGUCUGAGUGAGAUCUCCGGCGAUGGCUGAGCUGAAGAGGUAAAGCCCGAAUAGAAUAUGAACGACGGAGCUUACUAAAAGCUCUGCUAGUUGAAGAGCUGGCGUGAUCAACAACGGAAUCAUCUUUUCUUUAAAGGUCUCGAUCUUUCGUAUUUCUUGA